UACGAAGGGGGCUAGCGUUGCUCGGAAUCACUGGGCGUAAAGCGCACGUAGGCGGCUUUCUAAGUCAGGGGUGAAAGCCCAGAGCUCAACUCUGGAAUUGCCUUUGAGACUGAGUGGCUUGAGUACGAGAGAGGGUAGUAGAAUUCCUGGUGUAGUGGUGAAAUACGUAGAUAUCAGGAGGAAUACCGGUGGCGAAGGCGGCUACCUGGCCCUAUACUGACGCUGAGAUACGAAAGCGUGGGGAUCAAACAGG
This 253-nucleotide ribosomal RNA is filed under the name uncultured bacterium. RNAcentral describes it as "partial 16S ribosomal RNA". It matches the Rfam family "Bacterial small subunit ribosomal RNA", at positions 524 to 776 of the family's 1533-position model. The record is from RNAcentral.